This 1487-nucleotide long non-coding RNA is filed under the name Numida meleagris (helmeted guineafowl). Its description in RNAcentral is "lncRNA (ENSNMEG00000001315.1)". The record is from RNAcentral. Lineage: Eukaryota; Metazoa; Chordata; Aves; Galliformes; Numididae.
AUGCUUCUUAGAGAAGAGUACUUACGAGCAGGCAGAGAAGUCCUGGCUCUGCAACUGAUGCUGCUGAAAAUCCAGAGGAAGACAGCUGCCCUGCAGCCAGCACAGGCAAAUACAACCAUCUUUCACUUCCUGUCUCCCUGUGCUCCAAACGCCAGACGUAGAAGACCUGCUUUUCUCAGCUUUAGCUCCUUCUCUCUUUUUGCUUCUUUUUCUCGGAGGAGGUGGCGACAGGAGGAAACGCGGCCACCAGCAGCAGCAGCCUCCACCCACCAGCCCGAAAACAGAUCAGAAGGGAAAAUCCUCUCCCUAGCGCUGCCCUCCCCUUUUUUUCUGCUUCCUUCAGCUCCUCCCUCUUCCUCUGCGCCUCUCCGGCCUCCAGGAUCCUCCUCGCCUUCCGCUGGUGCUUCAGAGCCGGAACGCGGGAACCGCUUGUGCCCUGGUGACUCUGUCCGCAGUGCUGAAAGAGGCGGCCCCGACUCGGCCCCGGGGCGCAGUAACACCCCCGCGACCGGCUACUGGAUACCUUCCUCGCCGCCGCUUUCCCACGCACCGAGAUGGUGGCGGCUCCCUAAGCACCAGUCUAAGGGAUCUGAGCCAGGUGGGAGCAGGCAAGUUCUCCAAGCAGUCCUAGUUCUGGAGGCUGAACACGAUCCUGGCUGCAGAGAGCUGGGGUGCAGAGGCUCUGAUGCAGAUGUGUUCAUUUCAUAAUUAAUUCUCACUCUGAGAACAAGCCAGGAAGCAAGCUACAUUAAAUUGUGACCAUGGUUUUCACCUACAAGGCAUAACUGAGCCAACCUGGCCAUAUCCUAGCCUGAUGGUUUAGGGGUUUUACUAGACUGACUUCUUUUUUCCAUCCCUACACAUCCCUCCCACCAUCGUCUUUAAACAGACUGAACAAUUACUUACCUGGUGUUAUAUAGAGAAAGCUGAGAAACUGAGAAGCAUAAUUUCUUUACAGGUACCCCAAAGCAAACAUAAAUUAUUUUCAGUUAAUAAUACACGCACUGUUAACAAGUAUCUGCUGAUAUUUAGUGAGCAUGAUGAAGUGGCUAAGACUGUUUAUAAGAUGAGAUUUUCAGAAAUGCCUUGGGAUAUCAGGACACUCAAACCCAUAGACUUUCAGAGGGAGUACAUUGCCUACCUUUAGGUCACUUUGAAAAAUCAGCUACACAUGAUACGUGACACCUCAGGGGAGCUGUGGCCUAGAGAUUUAAAGUACAAGGCAUAGCUUAAGUGCCUGUUCAGGAGGGAACUGUCCCUGUAAUCUUGUCCAAAUGCUGUAACAUCUCCUUGAAUCUUCCCUUCCCUUAUCCACAUCAAUAUGGAGUUUUAAUACAUUCAUAUUUUAAGUGCUUUCUGAGAAGUAAUGUCAAUAUGUCUGUAGCAAAUAUGGAAUGAGAAAGUGCACUAUGAAUGCUAAGUGUCCUUAUAUUUAGCUCCGUUUUUGAAAGAAUAAAUAUUCUCCUAAAGAUUUAUCUCUUUUCUCC